RNAcentral lists this ribosomal RNA (223 nucleotides) under uncultured bacterium. RNAcentral's name for it is "partial 16S ribosomal RNA". It matches the Rfam family "Bacterial small subunit ribosomal RNA", at positions 15 to 219 of the family's 1533-position model. The record is from RNAcentral.
GAUCAUGGCUCAGGAUGAACGCUGGCGGCGUGCUUAACACAUGCAAGUCGAGCGAAGCACUUAUGAUGAUCCUUCGGGUGAUUCAUUUGUGACUGAGCGGGCGGCGGGUGAAGGUAACCGCGUGAGGUAACCUGCCUCAUACAGGGGAAUAACAGUUAGAAAUGACUGCUAAUGCCGCAUAAGCGCACAGGGCCGCAUGGCCCGGUGUGAAAACUCCGGUGGU